Molecule: ribosomal RNA, 484 nt
Filed under: uncultured bacterium
Lineage: Bacteria
Description: partial 16S ribosomal RNA
Rfam family: Bacterial small subunit ribosomal RNA
Source: RNAcentral
AUUGAACGCUGGCGGCAGGCCUAACACAUGCAAGUCGAGCGGAUGAAGGGAGCUUGCUCCUGGAUUCAGCGGCGGACGGGUGAGUAAUGCCUAGGAAUCUGCCUGGUAGUGGGGGAUAACGUCCGGAAACGGGCGCUAAUACCGCAUACGUCCUGAGGGAGAAAGUGGGGGAUCUUCGGACCUCACGCUAUCAGAUGAGCCUAGGUCGGAUUAGCUAGUUGGUGGGGUAAAGGCCUACCAAGGCGACGAUCCGUAACUGGUCUGAGAGGAUGAUCAGUCACACUGGAACUGAGACACGGUCCAGACUCCUAAGGGAGGCAGCAGUGGGGAAUAUUAGACAAUGGGCGAAAGCCUGAUCCAGCCAUGCCGCGUGUGUGAAGAAGGUCUUCGGAUUGGAAAGCACUUUAAGUUGGGAGGAAGGGCAGUAAGUUAAUACCUUGCUGUUUUGACGGUACCAACAGAAUAAGCACCGGCUAACUUCGUG